UACGUAGGGUGCAAGCGUUGUCCGGAAUUAUUGGGCGUAAAGAGCUCGUAGGCGGUCUGUCGCGUCGGCUGUGAAAACUCGGGGCUCAACUCCGGGCCUGCAGUCGAUACGGGCAGACUGGAGUUCGGCAGGGGAGACUGGAAUUCCUGGUGUAGCGGUGAAAUGCGCAGAUAUCAGGAGGAACACCGGUGGCGAAGGCGGGUCUCUGGGCCGAUACUGACGCUGAGGAGCGAAAGCGUGGGGAGCGAACAGG
RNAcentral lists this ribosomal RNA (253 nucleotides) under uncultured bacterium. Its description in RNAcentral is "partial 16S ribosomal RNA". It matches the Rfam family "Bacterial small subunit ribosomal RNA", at positions 524 to 776 of the family's 1533-position model. The record is from RNAcentral.